This 801-nucleotide ribosomal RNA is filed under the name uncultured bacterium. Its description in RNAcentral is "bacterial SSU rRNA". It matches the Rfam family "Bacterial small subunit ribosomal RNA", at positions 68 to 890 of the family's 1533-position model. The record is from RNAcentral.
GCUCAUAGCAAUAUGGGAGCGGCGAACGGCGUAGUAAGACGUAGGAACGUACCCUCGGGACGGGGAUAGCUAUGGGAAACUGUAGGUAAUACCCGAUAAUCUCUGCGGAGCAAAAGUGUGAUUCCGCCUGAGGAGCGGCUUACGCGAUAUUAGCUAGUUGGUGGGGUAAUGGCCUACCAAGGCGAUGAUGUCUAGGGGGUGUGAGAGCAUGGCCCCCACGACCGGAACUGAGAUACUGUCCGGACACCUACGGGUGGCUGCAGUCGAGAAUCUUCCGCAAUGGACGAAAGUCUGACGGAGCGACGCCGCGUGCGGGAUGAAGGCCCUUGGGUUGUAAACCGCUGUCAGAGGGGAUGAAAUCUUCGGAGGUACUCCUCCGGAGUUGACAGAGCCUCAAAGGAAGCACGGGCUAAGUACGUGCCAGCAGCCGCGGUAACACGUACUGUGCGAACGUUAUUCGGAAUCACUGGGCUUAAAGGGUGCGUAGGCGGCGAUUCAAGUCAGAUGUGAAAUGCCUGAGCUCAACUGAGGCAUUGCGUUUGAAACUGAAUUGCUAGAGUAUUUCAGGGGUGUGCGGAACUGCCAGUGGAACGGUGAAAUGUGUUGAUAUUGGCAGGAACACCGGAGGCGAAAGCGGCACACUGGGGAAUAACUGACGCUGAGGCACGAAAGCCAAGGGAGCGAACGGGAUUAGAUACCCCGGUAGUCUUGGCCGUAAACGAUGAGUACUGGGCGGGAGGGGGUUUCCCUUUUCUGCCGUAGCGAAAGCGUUAAGUACUCCGCCUGGGGAGUAUGGUCGCA